This 403-nucleotide ribosomal RNA is filed under the name uncultured bacterium. RNAcentral describes it as "bacterial SSU rRNA". It matches the Rfam family "Bacterial small subunit ribosomal RNA", at positions 490 to 890 of the family's 1533-position model. The record is from RNAcentral.
GCGCCGGCUAACUACGUGCCAGCAGCCGCGGUAAUACGUAGGGCGCAAGCGUUGUCCGGAAUUAUUGGGCGUAAAGAGCUUGUAGGUGGCUUGUCGCGUCUGCCGUGAAAUCCCGGGGCUUAACCCUGGGCGUGCGGUGGGUACGGGCAGGCUAGAGUGUGGUAGGGGAGACUGGAACUCCUGGUGUAGCGGUGGAAUGCGCAGAUAUCAGGAAGAACACCGAUGGCGAAGGCAGGUCUCUGGGCCAUUACUGACACUGAGAAGCGAAAGCAUGGGGAGCGAACAGGAUUAGAUACCCUGGUAGUCCAUGCCGUAAACGUUGGGCACUAGAUGUGGGGGACAUUCCACGUUUUCCGCGUCGUAGCUAACGCAUUAAGUGCCCCGCCUGGGGAGUACGGCCGCA